UACGUAGGGUGCUAGCGUUGUCCGGAUUUAUUGGGCGUAAAGAGCUCGUAGGCGGCUUGGCAAGUCGGGUGUGAAACCUCCAGGCUUAACCUGGAGACGCCACUCGAUACUGCCAUGGCUAGAGUCCGGUAGGGGACCACGGAAUUCCUGGUGUAGCGGUGAAAUGCGCAGAUAUCAGGAGGAACACCGGUGGCGAAGGCGGUGGUCUGGGCCGGCACUGACGCUGAGGAGCGAAAGCGUGGGUAGCAAACAGG
Molecule: ribosomal RNA, 254 nt
Filed under: uncultured bacterium
Lineage: Bacteria
Description: partial 16S ribosomal RNA
Rfam family: Bacterial small subunit ribosomal RNA
Source: RNAcentral